Molecule: ribosomal RNA, 898 nt
Filed under: Massariothea sp.
Lineage: Eukaryota; Fungi; Ascomycota
Description: eukaryotic LSU rRNA
Rfam family: Eukaryotic large subunit ribosomal RNA
Source: RNAcentral
UAGCAUAUCAAUAAGCGGAGGAAAAGAAACCAACAGGGAUUGCCCCAGUAACGGCGAGUGAAGCGGCAACAGCUCAAAUUUGAAAUCUGGCCUCGGCCCGAGUUGUAAUUUGCAGAGGAUGCUUCUGGCGCGGUGCCUUCCGAGUUCCCUGGAACGGGACGCCACAGAGGGUGAGAGCCCCGUAUGGUCGGACACCAAGCCUGUGUGAAGCUCCUUCGACGAGUCGAGUAGUUUGGGAAUGCUGCUCUAAAUGGGAGGUAAAUCUCUUCUAAAGCUAAAUACCGGCCAGAGACCGAUAGCGCACAAGUAGAGUGAUCGAAAGAUGAAAAGCACCUUGAAAAGGGGGUUAAAUAGUACGUGAAAUUGUUGAAAGGGAAGCACUUGUGACCAGACUUGGGCCGGGCGGCUCAUCAGGGGUUCUCCCCUGUGCACUCCGCCCGGCACAGGCCAGCAUCGGUUUUCGCGGGGGGAUAAGACCGCCGGGAACGUAGCACCCUCCGGGGUGUGUUAUAGCCCGGCGGACGAUACCCCCGCGGGGACCGAGGUCCGCGCUCCGCAAGGAUGCUGGCGUAAUGGUCACCAGUGACCCGUCUUGAAACACGGACCAAGGAGUCGUCCAUUAGAGCGAGCGUUUGGGUGUAAAACCCGCACGCGUAAUGAAAGUGAACGCAGGUGAGAGCUUCGGCGCAUCAUCGACCGAUCCUGAUGUUCUCGGAAGGAUUUGAGUAAGAGUUUUAACGGACGGACCCGAAAGACAGUGAACUAUGCUUGUAUAGGGUGAAGCCAGAGGAAACUCUGGUGGAGGCUCGCAGCGGUUCUGACGUGCAAAUCGAUCGUCAAAUAUGAGCAUGGGGGCGAAAGACUAAUCGAACUGUCUAGUAGCUGGUUACCGCCGAGU